Dalotia coriaria is the source of this 318-nucleotide long non-coding RNA. RefSeq lists it as uncharacterized. Lineage: Eukaryota; Metazoa; Arthropoda; Insecta; Coleoptera; Staphylinidae. The transcript is spliced from 3 exons. The record is from RefSeq and is a predicted model, not a curated record.
GUCUAUGGUUGAAGCAACCAAAGAAAUCAAAGAUCAUUCACUGCGAAAACAGAGACUUAUUAAGGCAUAUCAUUUACUUGAAUAUUUAAAAAAGGCUUGGAAUCAAACAGCAAAUAUUUUUGAAUUUCCAUUGUCAGUGCAAUAUUUUUCAACUGGUAUUGUGCUCGCAUUGCUUAUAAUAACCCAAUUAAAUAAAAUUGAUUUAUUGUCGUUGGGUCUUUUUGGGUUUUAUAUUAUUGGUUCAUGUGUUGUUGGUUUUGUUGGGGAAGAAAUGCGACAAUUAGUAAAUAAUAAAUAAUUCUGAAUGUGUGUUUAUGA